Molecule: transfer RNA, 76 nt
Filed under: Candidatus Poribacteria bacterium
Lineage: Bacteria; Candidatus Poribacteria
Description: tRNA-Asp
Rfam family: tRNA
About the family: Transfer RNA (tRNA) molecules are approximately 80 nucleotides in length. Their secondary structure includes four short double-helical elements and three loops (D, anti-codon, and T loops). Further hydrogen bonds mediate the characteristic L-shaped molecular structure. tRNAs have two regions of fundamental functional importance: the anti-codon, which is responsible for specific mRNA codon recognition, and the 3' end, to which the tRNAs corresponding amino acid is attached (by aminoacyl-tRNA synthetases). tRNAs cope with the degeneracy of the genetic code in two manners: having more than one tRNA (with a specific anti-codon) for a particular amino acid; and 'wobble' base-pairing, i.e. permitting non-standard base-pairing at the 3rd anti-codon position.
Source: RNAcentral
GGACCCGUGGUGUAGCUUGGUUUAACACAUCGGCCUGUCGAGCCGAAGAGCGCGGGUUCAAAUCCCGUCGGGUCCG